GGUGCUGUGGCUUAGUUGAUUAAAGCAUCUGUCUAGUAAACAGGAAAUCAUGAGUUUGAAUCUCAUCGGUGCCU
Non-coding RNA from Cordylochernes scorpioides, 74 nucleotides. NCBI's taxonomy places the organism in Eukaryota, Metazoa, Arthropoda, Arachnida, Pseudoscorpiones, Chernetidae. The record is from the annotation of a GenBank genome assembly.